UGGGGAAUAUUGCACAAUGGGCGAAAGCCUGAUGCAGCGACGCCGCGUGAGGGAUGGAGGCCUUCGGGUUGUAAACCUCUUUCAGUAAGGGUGAAGGCUCUCUUUUGUGGAGGGUUGACAGUACUUGCAGAAGAAGCGCCGGCUAACUACGUGCCAGCAGCCGCGGUAAUACGUAGGGCGCGAGCGUUGUCCGGAAUUAUUGGGCGUAAAGGGCUUGUAGGUGGCGUGUCGCGUCUGCUGUGAAAUUCCAGGGCUUAACUUGGGGAUUGCAGUGGGGACGGGCAUGCUAGAGUGCAGUAGGGGAGAUUGGAAUUCCUGGUGUAGCGAUGAAAUGCGCAGAUAUCAGGAGGAACACCGGUGGCGAAGGCGGGUCUCUGGGCUGUUACUGACGCUGAGGAGCGAAAGCGUGGGGAGCGAACAGG
Molecule: ribosomal RNA, 422 nt
Filed under: Verrucomicrobiota bacterium
Lineage: Bacteria; Pseudomonadati; Verrucomicrobiota
Description: Verrucomicrobia bacterium partial 16S ribosomal RNA
Rfam family: Bacterial small subunit ribosomal RNA
Source: RNAcentral